CUCGCCUGCGAUCGGAUCCUUUCAGCAAACCUCGCAUCUCUUGAGCAAAUCUUUACAUUUCUGAACAUCUCUAUUCACCUUUUUAACAUCUUUACCACUAAUCUGAGCAUUUUCCUGCACGAAUGUCAUCUUCUGAAGAAAUGCCAUUUUUCUCCAUCUGGGAUUAUUCCAGCUCUGGACCGCGGGUUGAGGCUGGUGACCUGCAACACCUUGUCCCGACUCCCCAUGUGUACCACCAGGAGCAGCACUUUACUCCCAGCACUCAGGGCCAGGUUUAUACCAACCUGCCUGACCAGCCGGAUUACGCAAGCUGGGAUUCGUCCAACUCUGGACCGUGGGUUGAGACUGGUGACUUCCAGCACCUUGUCCCUGCCCCCCAUGUUUACCUCCAGGAAGAGCAGUUCACCCCAAGCACUCAGGGCCAGGUGUAUUACAUCCUGCCUGCUCAGCCGGAUUACGCAAGCUGGGAUUCGUCCAACUCUGGACCGUGGGUUGAGGCUGGUGAUGUCCAACACGUUGUCCCUGACCCCCACGUUUACCACCUGGAACAGCAGUUCACCCCCAGCACUCAAGGCCAGGUGUAUUACAUCCUGCCUGCUCAGGUGUAUUACCCCAGCUGGGGCACUAUUUCCUGCUCUGGACCGUUGGUUGAAGCUGGUGACCUGCCACAUCCUAUCCCAUCCUCCCACGUGUACCACCAGGAGCAGAUAUUCACUCCCAGCGCUCGGGGCCAGCAGAUAGAGCUUCCAGGGAUGGCUGCAGUGUCAGAGGACCAAUAUUGCACCUUCAUGCCUGCUGGAGAGUAUCCUGUUGAUGGAUUGUACGGCCCUGCUGAUAUUCCUCCUGUACAAGAACAAGUCCUUCCUCCUCUGGACAAGCAGGAGCACACACUGAACUGGGGUCCUAGUAGAAGACAUCAGGGCCACAGAUCCACAGAUCCAAGUCCCUAAUGAAUGAAUUAAAUAUAGAUCUACAUCGUCAAAACAAAGCUUCCAAGAUUUAUCAUGCUUACAAUACUUGCACAUCACACACAACACUGUUGCCCAACUUAUAACCAAAUUCAAAUAGACUGCGGACCAACCGAGAAGUGGACAUCCACGAACAUCCACCAACGAAGGCACAACCGACGUGGUGCUGGCAUACAUAGUCCAUUAUGUAUGGAGACUUUUGGAACAACCUGUAUAUUCCCCCCAAAAAAUAAUUUACUACAAAUCAACGACAGACAAACAAACAAACAAAAAAUAACAAUAAAAUCUGGAUUAAAAAACCUCUGGUGUUUCUAAAGUUUUUUCUGAAACACUAUCCCAGAGGUUAAGAUAAUUCUUUAUUGUCUGAAUUGUGGGUAAUCAGGAUGAACAGUGCCUCAGAUGAGUGAAGCACUCAGAAUGGACCAGGAUGCUUCAAGACAUCAGAAAAAUCUUUGAAGCAAAACAAUUUGGAUCUUUAUAGUUUUUUUUUAUACUUUGUAGUCAAGCCAAACUUAAAAGGCAAAUGUAAUGUG
Molecule: long non-coding RNA, 1501 nt
Organism: Ictalurus punctatus (channel catfish)
Lineage: Eukaryota; Metazoa; Chordata; Actinopteri; Siluriformes; Ictaluridae
Source: Ensembl